AGACGCGCACAGCUCCUGCCCCGGGCAUUUAAAGGGACAGGCCCGCGCGCGGGAAUCGCCCGCGACCGCCUCUCUCAGGGGUCCUCGGUCUUGGUAUGAGUGAAACCCCACCCGCCAUCUCCGUAAUACACAUGCGGAGGAAAGUAACAGGGGUUUGCGUUUGAAGCUCUGAAGAAACAGGACAAUCUGUCCCAAUCCCCACCCCGUGAACUUUGAGAGGUUAUUUUAUGUUUGGUGGCAAUUACUACGACCUGAAUACUUAUUACCUUCGGAUGAGCCAUUUUACAUACUUUAUUUCACCUAAUCCUCAGGACAAUGCCCUGAUUUCUUGCCCCCAUUUUACAGAGGAGGGUUCUGAGGAAAACCGUCGCAGAGAGGCGAAGAAACUGGUCCUAGGGUUUUGACCCCCAUUGCUCCGCGCCGUUUUCUCCUUGACUCUGUCCCUGUGGAAACACCGACUGAGAUCAGUAUUUGAAGGAGAAAUAUUUGCGGAAGAAACAAAUAUAGAAGCAAACGAUCUUCACUAACACUUGUGAGUGCUUUGGGAGUGAACUUCGUUUCAGGAAAUUUCAGAAAAUUUCAGAAUUAAACAAGAGCUGCAACUGGCCUCAACUGAGUGGCAGAUUAUUAAAUAAGUUUUAAAAAAGAGAAUCACAACUGGACAAAAAAAAAAAAAAAAAUGGAAAUCACACCAGAUGCUACCAUCUACUAAGGAGAAACAGGCUACAAAAGAACCAAGAGAUGAACCUGUUCUACUCUCCAAUCUGUGGCUUCCUACAAUAAAAGAAUUUUGCAAAUUCAGAGACACUGCCUGACAGGCUUGCAGUGCCAACCGUCUGCCUGGCUUACCUCAGAACAGAUUUGAAAUACUUCAGCAUGAUAUUGUGGACCCUGCUCAUCUGUCAGUUCCUUCAAAUCAUGCCCAGAAGAAAAUACAGGACCCUCAGCUGCAAAUGUAAUCCAGUUGAGAAAAGAAAAUAAAAAGGUUUGCCGUCAGAAACGUUACUGCCACCUCAACAGAAAGGGCAAGUCAGAGUCGUUCCAGAAUCAUCGCUGCCCAGACUGACACUGUGAAGUGUGUGAGACAAUGGCAGGAGCCAGUGGAGUCUGGCACGCAGUGCUACCCUCAAAGUACUUCUUCCUGUGGUUCUUCAGAAAGAAUGAGGUUAGGAAAAGAGCCA
Long non-coding RNA from Pteropus alecto (black flying fox), 1181 nucleotides. RefSeq lists it as uncharacterized. NCBI's taxonomy places the organism in Eukaryota, Metazoa, Chordata, Mammalia, Chiroptera, Pteropodidae. The transcript has 7 exons. The record is from RefSeq and is a predicted model, not a curated record.